RNAcentral lists this ribosomal RNA (421 nucleotides) under uncultured bacterium. RNAcentral describes it as "bacterial SSU rRNA". It matches the Rfam family "Bacterial small subunit ribosomal RNA", at positions 355 to 774 of the family's 1533-position model. The record is from RNAcentral.
UAAGGAAUAUUGGUCAAUGGACGCAAGUCUGAACCAGCCAUGCCGCGUGAAGGAUGAAGGUCCUCUGGAUUGUAAACUUCUUUUAUCUGGGACGAAAACGGGAUUUUUAUCUCAAUUGACGGUACCAGAGGAAUAAGCACCGGCUAACUCCGUGCCAGCAGCCGCGGUAAUACGGAGGGUGCGAGCGUUAUCCGGAUUUACUGGGUGUAAAGGGCGUGUAGGCGGUUUCUCAAGUCCGAUGCUAAAGACCGAAGCUCAACUUCGGGAGUGCGUUGGAUACUGUGAGGCUAGACGGUCGGAGAGGGGAGCGGAAUUUCCUGAGUAGCGGUGAAAUGCGCAGAUACAGGAAGGAACGCCAAUAGCGAAAGCAGCUACCUGGACGAUUUGUGACGCUGAGGCGCGAAAGCGUGGGGAGCAAACC